Pseudopipra pipra is the source of this 1130-nucleotide long non-coding RNA. RefSeq lists it as uncharacterized. The transcript has 2 exons. Lineage: Eukaryota; Metazoa; Chordata; Aves; Passeriformes; Pipridae. The record is from RefSeq and is a predicted model, not a curated record.
AGCCUCCGCUGGGCAGCUGAGCCACAGAUGGGGUGUGUGGGUGGGCUCUGAACAUGAAGCUGGUGGUGCCAGUCCAGUCCAUUUCAAAACUGAUGUCUGCCAUGGAACAAAAUAUCCAUGUCUGGCAUUAACUGAGCUUCCACUUCGGAAGUUUCAUGGGAGAAAAUGCCAAACCAGCCCAGACACUGAAAAAGCUACAAGAGACCAAACACUGGUGGGUGAGUGCGAUGCAGUUCACGUCACUGCUGUCUGUGGGGAUAUGCUUUACUCUGCAGGAGCGUGAAUAAAGGUUGCUGAUGAAUCUUUUAAUGAAUUCUACAGUCACGUACUGAAGAGGAAGGUUCUGGCUGGUAAUGCUGACGUUGGUAAGGAGGUGGCUGGACAGGUGGACAUCUGACACUAAAAGGCAAUUGCCUCCCUUUAGAGGCCCUACACACAUGGAAGAUUGCUGCCAAGAAGGACUGAAGAGUUUGCUUUUUAUAUGUCCACCUGGAACCAUGUGAGACUGCCAGUGUCAUGGCAGGCAAAUAAGAGCCUCUGUGUUAUUUAGCUUAUGGUGAGCACAGCAAACAGAACAGAAUAGUUAUGACACGUUAUUCUCAGAGUUCUGCAUGACAACCUAUGACCCAAGCCUGAGGACUCCAUCCUGGAGAGCAGCUCUCUGCAGUAUAGGGCCUAGACCCAUCCAAGAGACAGGGACAGAAACAGGUACACCUCCAGCAUGGCUCAGGCAGGGACUAAAGGCCCCAGGCUAAGCUGGGACACAUUCCCUGGGCCCUUGGCAGGAGACAGUGCAGGUAGGAGUCCCAGAGGAGGUCGGUCCCAGCCACUGAGGCCUGUGAGCACCCUCAGGACCCUGAAAGAAGCAGACUUGCACUGCUCAUGUGCUUUCCUUUAGUCACUGGUGGUUGGCCCCUUUGGAGAUCAAGUUUUGGGUGAGAUGGACCUUCCCUCUGAGGAAGUGCUGCUGUUCUCAGGCACAGGACACUACAAUAACUGAGGCCCUACGGAAAGGGACACUGGACAACAACAAGCUGAACAUCUCCUGAAAGCUUCUCCUGCAGAGCCCACCUCAACCAAUUAUCUCCAGCAUCAUUUCCUAUCCUCAACGAAGGGAUCAAGUUCCAAAA